Molecule: non-coding RNA, 2226 nt
Organism: Punica granatum (pomegranate)
Lineage: Eukaryota; Viridiplantae; Streptophyta; Magnoliopsida; Myrtales; Lythraceae
Source: RefSeq, a predicted model, not a curated record
CCAUUUUACCCCUGCGUUUAAUGCAUGUUCCUUCGUGCCCAUCCAACUUCUGAACGCCUCCUCCCGCCCCCAUCGCUUCCAUCUACGUUCGCCUUCUCCCCGCCAGACCACUCUGUCUCCGCCUACCGCGCUCGACCCUGGCGAUGCUGGCCCGCAACCCCAUCGCUCCCCUUCUACUUUCGCCUUCUUCCCGCAAGGCACUCUGUUUACAGACUCAACGCUCGCCCUCACCUUGCGGCCCCGUUGGCCAUUGGAACCAACGCCUGAGACCCACGAACAACAGAACGUCGCCGAUGAAUUCGUACUACAGUCACCAGCCUCACCCUCCCCUAUCCGACUCUCUCUAUACAAGUUGCGGAUGAAUCGCUCAGUUUCGGUGCCCUUGCUCUCCUGUGCAGGGAUAACUAAAAGCCAAGGAUGAACCAUCCUAAUCUAUACAGGACAAUGCCUGUGGUAUCUUGUAGAGAACUUGACGGGCUGGUACAAGUUGUCUUACUGAGACUGGAAGAACCGAUAGAAGUUUUAGCUCUUUUUUCACCUAACAUGGAAUAAAAGGUAAAUACGACAUUGCGUAUGUGAUUGGCACCAUGAUAUCGUGAGCAAUGGCAUUCCUUAGAUAUCUAAUGAUAUGAAGUGUAAAAGAGUUGUCUUUUUUCCUGUCCUUAAUUCGGAGUUGAGCAUGUUGAAACAUCAAUGGGUUUAUAUGCCAAUGCUCGAGCCGUUUGUUCCCCAAGCUCUCCCAUGAUUCCUCCUCAAAUGUGGACACUGUUGUGGAUCAUGACCAAAUCAGCUUAAGAAAAUGGAUGAUAUCAACCUUAAAGGGUCAUUAUGCUGGCGAAGCUGGGACUUGGAAGUCGACAGAAGCUGUUCCAGUGAUGACUAUGAUGACUUCUCGGACCCCUUUGACAGCAGUAGCACCAAGAAUGCUAUCAUGGACUGGUACAUUCGCAUAGACUGGUUUAGGUGGUGAAGGGUAAGUUCCUCAUCUCUUCUGCGUCUCUCUCUCUCUUCCCCUCGUUAAUCUUUCAUUAGGUUCCCUUUUUGAAAGGAUGAAGCAUUGAAUGAUCAGAUAACAAAAGACAUAACGCGUUGGAGAAUCUAAAGUUCAUAUAAUUAAUGAGUAUACGAAUCUCUUGGACUACAUGCAAUUAGCUUGUAGAUUUUUUUUCUUAAAAUAGUGCCUAAGUAUGUUAAAAGAGAAAAUUCACGCUGGAAGAGUUUUUUUUCCUUAGUGGACCGAUCUGACUUGAAUUAGAUUACUUAAGGCCAGUUGAGCUUCCAGAUACUAAGGUGCAAUCGAAAAUAAAAAUGGCAAGACACAAAAACAGCCGUCGGAUGCUUUCUUGCUCCACUGUGGAUCAUCUGCGGCACCGACAGAAUUACCAAGUAGACUCUUGAAUUUAACUUCUCUUCACAAGCAAUUCCUAUUGUAUUAUGCACCUAAUUUUCCGCAGAUAUAAAAUUCAGGGACACUUUUCAGAAGUGCAAGAAAACCAAGAAGUUGCUACAUAAUCAUUUAGCAAUAGAGAGGCAGUAAUAUUGAGUUCGAUCAUUCCGAGUCAUCACAAGAAUUGAACAAGAGAUGAUCCAUCUUAUGUUUAUGCAUGGAAUAGUGAAAUCAAGGCAACUAUGUUACUAUCUACACACACACACACACACACACACACACACACACACAUAUUUGUAUCCUGGGAGGCUCUUUAUUCCCGGUUGUAGGCUAAUGUUAUUUUGGCAUCCCAAUUGCGACUUUUCAGCCACAAUCCUCUAAUUACUUAUUAAAAGAAAAUAAAAACAAGAAUCCUCCAACCAAUCUCCCUAUAUCCAACCGGUAUAUCUUUCACUGCCCUCAUUUCUUAAAUGCAAUGAUUAUUCACCCUUAACACCCUUAAACAACUCACUUUUUAAUUCCUGAGACUAUCCACUUCGUGCCCUUCCUCCCCCUUCAGAUAGACAAUGCAUCUUUUCCUAUUGUGCUAUACAAUUAAUUCUUCCUUUGUUCAAGGGCGCACUUUGAUGAUUGAAGGAAAGUUUCAAUUAUUUUAUCUGUACAUUUCAAUUGCUCUCUCCAUUACACCAUGUUUCUAUAAUUGAUGGUUACUUCUUGCUUACUUCAUGAAUGGGCCAUGUUCUAUAUCCUGGACUUCGACAAUCAGACGAACUUUUGGUGAAUCGUCUCUUGCAUCCUUUCCCCUCUAUCUCAUGUAAUGCUAUCUGAUUUCCUUUAAU